RNAcentral lists this transfer RNA (75 nucleotides) under Candidatus Atribacteria bacterium. Its description in RNAcentral is "tRNA-Pro". It matches the Rfam family "tRNA". From Rfam's summary of the family: Transfer RNA (tRNA) molecules are approximately 80 nucleotides in length. Their secondary structure includes four short double-helical elements and three loops (D, anti-codon, and T loops). The record is from RNAcentral. Lineage: Bacteria; Pseudomonadati; Atribacterota; Atribacteria.
UGGGAAGUAACGCAGUCUGGUCAGCGUACUUGCUUUGGAAGCAAGGAGUCGGUGGUUCGAAUCCUACUUUCUCCG